RNAcentral lists this transfer RNA (538 nucleotides) under uncultured Prochlorococcus sp. Its description in RNAcentral is "partial 16S-23S ribosomal RNA intergenic spacer". The stretch from base 213 to 285 matches the Rfam family "tRNA". Lineage: Bacteria; Bacillati; Cyanobacteriota; Cyanophyceae; Synechococcales; Prochlorococcaceae. The record is from RNAcentral.
CAGGGAGACAACAAAAUGUUUAAUAUUAUUAUUUUGUCACCUUAGGUCGAUCGGUAUCUCACAUCCUUAAAUUAAUUAAGGAUUUUAUUUCCUAAGUUUUUCUAGGUCACACCCAUUAUUUUUCCUGGGCCAUUAGCUCAGGUGGUUAGAGCGCACCCCUGAUAAGGGUGAGGUCCCUGGUUCAAGUCCAGGAUGGCCCAUAUCUCUAUGUUGGGGGUAUAGCUCAGUUGGUAGAGCGCCUGCUUUGCAAGCAGGAUGUCAGCGGUUCGAGUCCGCUUACCUCCACUGAUUACCACCUCUUCCAUAAUUUUAAGGAAAUGUUUUGAGUUGUGAUCAAAUUCUGAGCGAAUCUAGCUUCCUAAUGAAAUCAUUAAGAUGCUGGACUCAUUGAAUUAAAUUCAUUGUUUUCAGAGAACCUUGACAACUGCAUAGAUUAUUUUUAAAGACAAUAAGCAUCUUUAAUGAUGCAGAUUUAUUAUUUGUGCGAAUGCAUUAAUAACAAUUCUAUUAAGCUGAUGCUUCAAUUUUUGAAGUUAUU